CCUACGGGAGGCAGCAGUGGGGAAUUUUGGACAAUGGGCGAAAGCCUGAUCCAGCAAUGCCGCGUGCAGGAUGAAGGCCUUCGGGUUGUAACCUGCUUUUGUACGGAACGAAAAGUCUCGGGAUAAUACCCUGGGACCAUGACGGUACCGUAAGAAUAAGCACCGGCUAACUACGUGCCAGCAGCCGCGGUAAU
RNAcentral lists this ribosomal RNA (194 nucleotides) under uncultured bacterium. Its description in RNAcentral is "partial 16S ribosomal RNA". It matches the Rfam family "Bacterial small subunit ribosomal RNA", at positions 338 to 524 of the family's 1533-position model. The record is from RNAcentral.